Loxodonta africana (African savanna elephant) is the source of this 7991-nucleotide long non-coding RNA. RefSeq lists it as uncharacterized. Lineage: Eukaryota; Metazoa; Chordata; Mammalia; Proboscidea; Elephantidae. The transcript has 3 exons. The record is from RefSeq and is a predicted model, not a curated record.
GCUACAGUACUUAAAAUUAAUCUAUCAACCUGGAGACCAAUGAAGAAAAGAAUUCUUUGAAAAGAUAGAGUUUAAAGAAGAGAAGACUAAAAGGGAAAAAUGGGGUCAUGUGUCGGAGGACAGAUUUGGGAUUCCCGAAACUGCCAAAAAUGGUGUAUUUCCAAAAAUUUUUUUAAGUGUCUGUCACAUCUGCCAAUCACCUGAUUAAAGUUAUUUUACAUUUCUUUAAAACCUCUGAAGUUCAGAGUAAAUAACUGUUACAAUGGUUAAAUCCGAUAUUUACAGGGAGAAUAUGUCUGCUGAUAAUCGGACAUUUCAGUGAAGGUUGCACUUAGUGCUGCCUUUGCCAUUUGAACGUGAUCAAAUCUAUCACAUUGGAAAACCGUGUAAUCUUGUUUGGAAAUCUUCCCCAGGCUUUUGCAUCCUAUGUGAGUCCUGCCAGGGAAGUUUAAUACGAAUCUCAAACUUAAUUUAAGUAAUUUAUUAAAAAAGAAACUUCUGGCCCAGUACUUUGAACCUUUUAACUAUUAAUAACCAAGAAAGAUGUAUUUUCAAGUUGGUAAAGUUUCCACCUAUUCUGCCUGCAACUGUGAUCUCAGUAUAUAUAGGGUGUCUGUGAAGUGUGGAAACAAAGAAUAAGUAUGGCUUCAUCUUUUUUUUUUCAUCAAGGACACCUUUAAUCUGUAAAAAUUAGAAUAGAAUAAACUAGCAUAGAGCAUGACAGAAUAAAAUAAAACAAAGAAGUAAAGUAAAAUAAAAUAACACCGUGUUUCCAGACUUUGUGGAAAUCCUCUGUUAAGAGCUUGUGGGAUAUGUCGAUCCAACUGAACAACUAGAUGAAAUGGGAGACUUCCCCAGCAGGAAAUGGCGCUUUCUGAUGCUGCUAAUUAAGGAAUGUGGAAGCCUUCCUUCUGAGUCAGUUUGGCGGUAUGUUGAACUCUGCACUGCUUACAUGAUUGUUGUAUGAAACUUUAGAAAUGAAACCAGAGUGUCUUGUCACUUAAUAUUUAAGAAGCAAGAGGUGGUGUGUAUGCGUACGUGUGUGUUUAAAAGGUUUCUAAUCUUUAACAUGGUUAGUUGCAGCUGGCCUUUUUAUCAGCUGAUCAAAUUUACUGCCUAGUCUCAGAUGUCAGGGUGCCAUCCCAAAGAGAAGAUUUGGACCAUUUACAAGUUAACAUUUUAAGGUACACGGGCUUAUCAUAGGAUCCUGAGGAUUCACUGGAAUUAUGUAGCAAUAAAAACAUCUCUAUGGGACUGUGAAUUCUUAUUUGGUAAAAUAUGUGUUUAUUUGUUGGAUUUCAGAGGUAAUAGAAGCAUAGUAUAGAAAAAAAAUAGAGAAAAACAGGAAGUGGAAAAUAACCAUGCAUAUAGCUAGACAAUCAUUUCAAAAUUUUAUUAUAAAAAUUUUCAAACUUACACAGAAGUAGAGAAUAGUAAAAUGAACUCCCAUAUAUCCAACAUCUAAUUCUUUUUUUUUAAAUUUAUUUUAUUUGCUUUCUUGUUGAGAAUACACACAGCAAAAAAAAAAAAACACCAAAUCAACAGUGCCUCCAUGUACAAUUCAGUCACUUGAUGGCAUUCUUCAAGCUGUGCAAUCCUUCUCACCCUCCUUUUCUGAGCUCUUCUCCCCCAUCAACAUACACUCAUUGCCCCCUGAGGUUCCUUUCUAAUCUUUUGAGCUGCUUUUGUAACUUUGAUGCCAUAUAGCCAACACCCAAUUCUAUCAUUCCAGGACGUCAACCACAUUUGCUUCAAUUUUUCCUUGUUAAAAUAUUAUAAAUUCCAAGGUAUCAUAAUAUUCCAAAGUAUUAUAAAUUUCAAGAUAGCUCCUCCUAGAUGCUUCAGUACAUAUCGCUAAGUAUGUAUAUAUGUUCUCUUUAAUAACCCAUUAUUGCAGUGAAUGAAAUUCACAGUAAGUCUUGGAUAUCACAGAAUGCCCAGUCCAUAAAAAAAAUUUCCCUGAUGAGAAAAACCAAAGGUAACGCUUUUAUUUCACCGGUUUCAUUUUUUUUUUGCUUACUAAUAUACAGAUUUAUAUAGUUCAUUAAAAAGUAGAAUUUGACAUCUUGAUUCCAUUUGCUCUUGUAACUGUUUCCCAAUGGUAUAUUUUUUUUCAAAACUUCGUCAUUUUAAAAUGGCUGUGUGGGGAUAACUUGGAUGACUAAGCAUUCAUCAUUUAUUUGUGUGGCUCCAAAAAUACACUGAGAAAGAGAGAGACAGAGAGAGAGAGAAAGAAAGAGAGAAUAUUUUUUUCCCCCAUAGUAAGUCUUGUUGCCGUGAAUAUCUUUGCUCAUAAUGCCUUUUCCUUGAUUAGGGCUGUUUCCCUGGGAUGGAUUCCAGGAGGGCUAGUGCACCAAAAUGUAUGAACAUUUGUAAGGCUCUUGACUGUUCUUACGGAGUUGUUUACAAAAGAACUGUACCAAUUUACACUUCCACUUACAAAGGAUGAGUGAGGCUCUAUUAAAAUGUUUAAAGCCAGUGCUUUUCAGAGCUUUUAUAAAUCAUCGGCUGUAAGAGGCUGACUUUAUGUUUGUCAUAUGGUCAGAGUCAUCUCAAAAUAAAUAAAUACACAUUUUCUAUAGCUAUAAAAACAUAGCACGCACAGACUGCCAAACAACCACAAACUAACUUUGAUUAAACGAGGAAACCGGUCGACUUGUUGAAAAUGUGGUAAUGAGAUAGUUUCCACCCAGCCGGGCAACCCAGUCCCAGCGGGGGAGGGGAGCCUGCAUUUCUUCAUGCCUUUCUGCCCAUCCUGAAGAAGGUAGAAAUGAACAGGGCCCUCCCAGGCCUCGCUUGACCUCCAUCUUGGAGACGAUGCCCAAGGAACUUUGAGGAUCGCCCAGGAAAGUGUAUCUUGGCAAUCUAUCCAUAUGUACAGGAGGUGUGACUUCAUUCUUUCAACUGCUGUGUAUAUUCUAAAAUUUGGAUACAUGGAGUUUCUGUGGCCAUUUUCCUUUUGAUGAGCGUGUAGGUGUUUUUCACCAUUAUCAACAAUGCUGCAGUGAAAAUCCUUGUGUUUGCUUCUCUGUGUACAUGAGUGAUUAUUUCUCUAGAGUAGAUAUUGUAAUUGUAUGCUUGUCUAUUUAUUUAUGUUUUAAUUUGUUUGAUGUCUAUUUCUCCUACUAAAAUAUACCCUCCAUGAGGGCAGAAAUUCUAUUUGUUUUGUUUCUCUUUAAUUACUACCUAGUCAGGUACCUAGAACAAAGGUCAAUAAAUAUUUAUUGAAUGAAUUCAGGCUGAAACGGUUGGUUGGGGCUGUGGUGUGACUUUGAAUCCUAAGAGAGGGAACUACGGCUUAUCUUGGUAAAAUUUUCACACUGGGCAGUAGCAGGAUAGUUAUUACCGGGGGUUUUGGGAAAAAUGUUCUGGGCCAGGAAGAAGGCAGCUCUAGGAGGACCAGUCAGGAGAUGAUUACACAGGUCAGAAGGAAAAAGAAACAAGGACAAGGGGAAUAGAAAGGAAAGGGUGGGUUUGAGAGAUACUGAGAUGAUAGGACCUGUAAGAUUUAUCAGCUGAUUAGCUAUGAGGGACAGGGUAAAGGAAGUCAUGGAAGGUCAAUACCUAGUGCUGAACACUUUAAUUUUACAAAACUUUAUUGCCUCCCAGCUCUGUGUAAAAAGCCCUCUGCUAAUUGCUGUUGGGACAUAAAUUUGCAUGACUUUUCUUCCCUACUUUCAAAGGAGAUUUGCAGUUUAUGGAAGAACAUUGGAAGCCCUUGUGGCGGAAUGGUUAAGAGCUUGGCUGCUCACCAAAAGGUCAGCAGUUUGAAUCCAACAGCCACUCCUUGGAAACCUUAGGGGGCAGUUCUGCUCUGUCCUGUAGGAUUACUAUGAGUCAGAUCGGCUUGAUGGCAACGGGUUUGGUUUUGAUUGUUUUGGAGAAGACCCACAUGUACACAGGUCUACCAAGAACAAAAGGGAGUGCCUGAGAGGUGGGAGGAGAGGAGUCCCAGGGCAAUCAAAUGAAAUACUGCUAUUCCAGAGUAGCAGAGGGGAGCAGGGUGGGUGAGGACCUUUCAACUUUGCCCCAGAGCCACACACAUGGCUGACUCUGGCGAACAUUCAGGAAGUAGGGUGUCAACAAGUAUGGAUCAUCUUUUAAGAUCCAUCUAUAUGGGAUCCAAUUGACAACAGCAACUCAAAAGACUAGAUAGGAACCUCAGGGGGCUGUGAGUUUGUGUUAAUGGAGGAGGAACAAUUCAGAAAAUGAGGGUGAGAGAGAAUGGGUGCCCAACUCUAAUCAGUGUCACUGAAGUGUAUGUGUGGAAAUUGUUGAAUUGGUGUAUGCUCUGCAGUGUCUAUGCUCAACAACAACAAAAAGUAAAAUUUAUAUAUAUGUUAAAAAAAAAAAAAGAAAGAUCAGUGUAGCUUUUUUAGAAGUAAGGACAUGCAGAUUUGUGACAUGCUGGAGUCUGGCUCAUUGGCUUCAGUAUAGUCUGGAAGGCAGGGACACAAACUGUUAGCUGUGUGACCUUAGGCAGGUUCCUUAACCAUCCUGAGCUUCAUCCUCCCCCUUUAAAAAAAGACAAGGCAAUAGUAACUAAAGUGAUGAAGAUUAAUUAGAUCACAGCUAGUUCAGUAGCAGCUCUGAUCCUAUGAUCAUAAACUCAACAAAAGGAGUGGAAAAUGUCUGCUUGAAAUAAAAGGACUCCAAUUCCCUAGAGCUGGUCCUGUUCUCUUUGUUUAACCAAGACAGGAUAAUAUCUCCUUUGAGGAAGAAACAUUUAUUUGAAGUUCAAGAAUUCUUUCAGUUUUACUCUAUUUCCUUUCGGUGCUUUCCCAGUGUUCUUGGGAUAAAAUCCAAAGUCCUCGUGGGUAUAGCAAAGCAUGCCUGACAUGUUAUCAGGAAUUUUGUCUUUAUUCUAAGAGCCAUUGGCUGUAUUAGGCAGGGCUGGGACACAAUCAGAAUCCCUGGGUGAUGCAAAGGGUAAUGCACUGGACUGCUAAUUGCGAGGUUGCCGGUGCCUCAUAAGAAAGGCCUGGUGAUCUACUUCCAAAAAUCCAGCCAUGGAAAACCCUGUGGAGCAUAGCUCUACCCGAAGACAUAUGGGGUUGCCAUGAGUCACAACUGACUUGAUACAAUUGUUUAUUUUAUUUUUUUAAACUGGUGACCUGAUCAGAUUUGACUUUUUGACUUUUGAAAAGAUCAGUUUGGCUGCUGGGAGGGGUGAUUGUUUGCUUUUCCGCUGGAAGGGAAGUUCUGCGAACACAGGCGCUGUGUUCAUUUUCUUUACAGCUAUAUCCCUAAACCAAAACCCAUUGCUAUGGAGUCAGCUCUAACUCAUAGUGACCCUAUAGGACAGAGUAGAACUGCCCCAUGGUGUUUCCAAGGAGUGGCUGGUAGAUUUGAACUGCCCGCCUUUUGGUUAGCAGCUGAACUCUUAACCACCGCGCCAUGAGGGCUCUGCUGGUGGGAAAUGCCGGGCGCAUAGUAGGUGUGGAUUCUAUUGGUUUGAUCUUUCUGCCUUUAAAGUGAGACUAAAAAUACCUAUGUCUUAGUUACCUACUGCUGCUAUAACAGAAACACCACAAAUGGAUGGCUUUAACAAACAGAACUCUUCCUCUCAGAGUCUAGGAGGGUAGAAGUCCAUAUUCAGGGUGCCAGCUCCAGGGAAAGGCUUUCUUUAUCAGUUCUUGGGGAAGUUCCUUGUCAUCAAUCAUCCCCUGGUCUAGGAGCUUCACAGUGCAGGGACCCUGGGUCCAAAGGAUGCACUCUGCUCCCGGCACUUAUUUCUUGGUGACAUGAGGUCCCUCUCCUCUCUGCUGUAUUCUCUCUUUUAUAUCUCAAGAGAUUGACUCGAGAUACAACCUAAUCCUGUAGAUUGAGCCCUGCCUCAUUAACAUAACUGCCUCUAAUCCUGCCUUUUUACCAUCGUAAAGGUUAGGAUUUACAACACAGGAAAAUCAUGUCAGAUGACAAAAUGAUAGACAAACACACAAUACUGGGAAUCAUGGCCUAGCCAAACGGAUACACAUUUUAGGGGAACACAAUUCAACCCAUAACAUCAGCUAGACUUUCGGCAUCUUCUCUCUUCUUUGGGCAUAGGACUUUUGGGGUAUAUCAGUGCUCUAGUCCACCCAUCCCUUCCCAAAGCCCAUCCCUUCCCAAAGCAGAGACAUGCAGGAGACGCGGAUGGGUUGAAUUUGGACAAGUCGAGCUCUUGACAGUGUGAUUCAGAUUCCAGAAAAAGAAAAAGAAAAAAUUUGUUUUUCUAACCAGUGAACUAUACAAACACCUCACCAUACAAUUCAUCUCAUAUAAAAGAGACUGAAGAAAAAGAAACAUGAGACCAAAGACCCUGCGGUGGCUGCUCUUCCUUGUAAACUACAGAACCUCUCUGUAUUUCAGGUUACCCAUUAGGGAAACCGAGGCUAAACCAAAACCAAACCAAAUCCGUUGCUUCUGAAUUGAUUCUGACUCACAGCAACCCUAUAGGACAGAGUAGAACUACCCCAUAGGGUUUCCACGGAGCAGCUGGUGGAUUUGAAUAUAUACAUAUAUAUUCAAAGAUGGAACCUGCACCAAAGCAGAGCUGUAGGCAGAGGCGAUGCUCAGUAUUCACAAGAAGAAUCAUUAGAACAACAACCCCUUAAGUGUGGUCUUUUUACGAGAAUUUGAGGUCUGCAUCCCACUGCUCUCCUGCUCCAUGGAAACUCAUUUAUUGAUCACUGUUAUAUACGGACAGCAUGCUAAGAUGCAGCAGAGAACAAGACACAGUGCCAUCUAGCUUUACGGAGUUUAGCUUCUAGUAGGAGGAAGGCAGAGCCAGGAAUGGAUACUUGCUGAAACGUAAUGCGUGUUACUGCAUGUUUUUGAGCUCUGGGGGCACCUGGCAAGGACAUGUGAUCUACGUCAAUGGCUAGCUCAUCUCCCUAUCUGCCCUUUUCCUCCGUCCACAUUCACUUCCUGGAGAGUAUUACCCAUUUCCAUCAUACUAAAUAGCCAUCAGGGGUGGAGGAUGGUGGGAGGAGAAGUCCUAAGAGGGCAAUUCAGAAUUCAUUCCUGAACAUCUAAAUGGAAAUGAAGUAGGCAGUUAGGAGCAUGUUUCGGGAGUGGAGGGCUGAAGUCUGGAUGGGAAACAUAAAUGCAGGAGACUUCAACACUUAGGUGGUAUUUUGAGCCAUUGGAUUGGAUGAAUCACCUAGAGAAGGAGAAAGGGAAGACAAGGAAGCUCAGCUUUGGGCCCCCAGGCACCUCAAAGUUUAGAGGUCAGGGAGAGGAAGAGGAACUAGCAACGAGAACCGAGAAGGGGCAGUCAGUGAGGAUGAAGCGAAAUCAGGAGGACAAGGUGCCCCAAAUCCAAGAGAAGAAAGUCUUUCGAGGUAGAGGGAGGGAUCAACUGUAUCAAGUGCUGCAGAUGUGGCAAAUGAAACGAGGAUGAAGGACAGACCAUCAGGUAGCCUCCACAACCCGAGUCACAUCCCCAUUCCUCCUCGCGGUCUCAUUCUCUGGCCCCCAGCCUCGCUCAUGGUCCCAGACACACUGGCCUCCCUAAAGUUCUUUCCUCAAGCCUCAGGGCCUUCUCACCUUCUGUUCCUGCUGUAUGGACCUCUACUCCCCAUCUUAGUGUGGCUUGCUACCUUACUCAUUGAGGUCUUUGCUCCUCCCUCUAUCCCCCCACCUACCAAAAAACAAAAACAAAACAAACUCAUUGCCAAGAGUCGAUUCUGACUCAGCGAUCUUAUAGGACAGAGUGGGUUUCCAAGGCUGUAAUCUUUAUGGAAGCAGACUGCCACAUCUUUCUCCUGCGGAGCAGCUGGUGGAGUUGAACUGCUGACCUCUUGGUGGCUAACCACCGUGCUACCAGGGCUCCUGUGCUCCUCAGGGAGCCCCAAUUUAAAACAGCAGGCUUUCCCCUGCCCAGUUACCCUGUCCCUUUUUUACAGCAAUUAUAACUUUCUGUGUAUUGUCUGACUCCCUCUAGAAGGUAAGCGCCAGAGGGGCAAGGGCUUCAUCUCCCAUGCCUAGGAUAGUGCCAUCAAACCAAA